This 391-nucleotide ribosomal RNA is filed under the name Chrysophyceae sp. RNAcentral describes it as "partial small subunit ribosomal RNA". It matches the Rfam family "Eukaryotic small subunit ribosomal RNA", at positions 582 to 975 of the family's 1831-position model. The record is from RNAcentral. Lineage: Eukaryota; Chrysophyceae.
AUUCCAGCUCCAAUAGUGUAUAUUAAAGUUGUUGCAGUUAAAAAGCUCGUAGUUGAAUUUCUGGGUGUGAUAGGCGGUCCGUGUGCAUAACAUGUGUACCUCCCUCUCAUGCCCAUCCUCGAAGUGAAUAUGCAUUGCCUUAACUGUGUCGAGUAUAGGACCUUCGUCAAUUACUGUGAGCAAAAUAGAGUGUUCAAAGCAGGCUUAUGCCGUUGAAUAUAUUAGCAUGGAAUAAUAAGAUAUGACUUCUGUCUAUUUUGUUGGUCUGCAUUCGGAAGUAAUGAUUAAUAGGGAUAGUUGGGGGUUUUCGUAUUCAAUUGUCAGAGGUGAAAUUCUUGGAUUUAUGGAAGACGAACUACUGCGAAAGCAUCAACCAAGGAUGUUUUCAUCA